Apodemus sylvaticus (European woodmouse) is the source of this 985-nucleotide long non-coding RNA. RefSeq lists it as uncharacterized. NCBI's taxonomy places the organism in Eukaryota, Metazoa, Chordata, Mammalia, Rodentia, Muridae. The record is from RefSeq and is a predicted model, not a curated record. The transcript is spliced from 3 exons.
AUCUGCACUAUGGCCUCUGCUGUGGUGGUUGAGCCCUCUCCAUCCAUGUCUGUGGCCUGGAUGGUCAGUCUGUACUCGGGGACUUUCUGGGGAGAGAGGGGCAGAGAGCUCAUUCGAAGUCAGAUGAGAGACCACCCACCUGGCUGCCUCCUCGCCCCGGGGGAUCCAGCCAGCAGGCCGCUAGCCCAAAGGAGCUGUGGGACAGCAGAAGCAAAAGCAGCAGCAGCCAAGCCAAUCCAGGUGACCUGGGACGCCACCGCCCCUGCCGUGACCCUGGGGCGGCCAUGCGAGUCAGGCCUUGGCGCGCAGUACCUUCCCGAAGACUACUUGCCUCUCGGUCCAGGCCACUGGAAAUGACGCUAAUGGUCCCCGUGCUUUUGUGGAUGGUGAACAUGAGGUCGUGUGGUUCCUUCGGCUCCUGGCUAUGGAUGGAGUAAGCCACCACCCCGUUUGCAUUUUCUGGCAACACACUUUGGCUGCCUGUAGUAUGACACCGUCAUGUGAAGCUGGAAAACUAGCAGAGCUCAUGGAGGUGGAUGAAGUCAGCGGAAGGGGCAGCAGUGAUUAACUACUAUAACGAGCCAGCCACCCGCAGCCCACAGGAAUCCAGCGCCAGCUUUCAGGAGCCCCAGAGCCCCAGAGCCCCAGAGCGCACACAUCCAGGCAGAAUCCUCCUGGAAGGCUGGGAUGUGCGUGUGGGUGAGCGAAGAUUGCUUAGAGACAGCUCUGCCUCCUUGACGAUCUCCUCUCUGAGGAGGCCUGGGCUGCCUCGGCUUGAGGCGGCAAGGGACGAAAGGGACCUGGGCUUGAUUCCAUUCCAGAGGGUCCCGGGAGCCACGGGAUCCGUGGUACGGCCCUGACGUUUACUCUCCUGCUCACUGUUGCAGGCUCUUCGGAGAACCUUGCGUUGCCUUAACCCUAGAAAGCCAGGAAUGAUUGAUAUGAUAAAGACUAAAUCAGCUUAAAUACAGAAGAUAUUAUAUAU